Molecule: ribosomal RNA, 776 nt
Filed under: uncultured Neocallimastigales
Lineage: Eukaryota; Fungi; Neocallimastigomycota; Neocallimastigomycetes; Neocallimastigales
Description: partial large subunit ribosomal RNA
Rfam family: Eukaryotic large subunit ribosomal RNA
Source: RNAcentral
UUAUCUCUGUAGAGUCUGCAUAUCAAUAAGCGGAGGAAAAGAAGCUAACUAGGAUUCCCUUAGUAACGGCGAGUGAAGCGGGAAGAGCUCAAAUUUGAAAUCUUCAAGGUUCUACCUUGACGAAUUGUAGUUUAAAGAAGUGUUUUCUGUUGGAGUUUUGGUAAAAGUUCUUUGGAAUAGGACAUCAUAGAGGGUGAGAAUCCCGUAUUUGACCAUUUCUUCCAGCUGUGUGAUACACUUUCAAAGAGUCGGAUUGUUUGGGAAUGCAGUCCAAAAUGGGUGGUAAAUUUCAUCUAAAGCUAAAUAUUGGCGAGAGACCGAUAGCGAACAAGUACCGUGAGGGAAAGAUGAAAAGAACUUUGAAAAGAGAGUUAAACAGUACGUGAAAUUGUCAAAAGGGAAGCGUUUGACACCAGUGUUGUUUUCUCGAAAAUCAAUUAAAAAUGGCCGGAUUUUGUGUUGUAUUGACUUUAUCAGCUUUCUGCACUUUUUUCUUGUCUUUUUUAAUGCACUUUUCGUUUAACAAGUCAACAUCAAUUUCUUUUGUUGUAAAAGAGUCAUUGGAAGGUGGCUUUCACUUCGGUGAAAGUGUUUAUAGCCUUUGGCUUCUGCAAUCGGAGAGAUUGAGGUCUGCAGCGUAGAUCCUUCGGGGUUAGAUACAUUUGUGCUAAGUUAUAGUUUUUCAUAGACAACAUUGUUGACUAUGAUUUAAUCAUGUAGCUUACUCGCUUAUGUAUUUUACCUACGCUUAGGAUGUUGAAUCUGUGCGAGACUAC